RNAcentral lists this ribosomal RNA (214 nucleotides) under Klebsiella pneumoniae. RNAcentral's name for it is "partial 23S ribosomal RNA". It matches the Rfam family "Bacterial large subunit ribosomal RNA", at positions 2616 to 2925 of the family's 2925-position model. Lineage: Bacteria; Pseudomonadati; Pseudomonadota; Gammaproteobacteria; Enterobacterales; Enterobacteriaceae. The record is from RNAcentral.
AAGUAUUGAGACAGUUCGGUACAUAUCUGCCGUGUGCGCUGGAGAAUUGAGGGUGGCUGCUCCUAGUAAGAGAGGACAGGAUUGGACGCAUCACUGGUGUUCGGGUUGUCAUGCCAAUGGCAAUGCCCGGUAGCUAAAUGCGUAAGAGAUAAGUUAUGAAAGCAUCUAAGCACGAAACUUGCCCAGAGAUGAGAUCUCAAUGAGACUUUAAUUA